CUGGAACCAUUUGCUGCAAACAAUAUGGGAGUUUAGAGAAGAAUUAUGCAUUGAAGAAGUUCAUUUCAUCCUUGUGCGUUUUCAACCUCAGUAAAAAUAGCCUGAAAUAUUAAUCAAGAAACAUUUGACAGACAUUAAGUGUCUCUGUGAUCUCAGUUUGUCAUGUGGAUAGACCAGAGAAAAACAACUGUUGGUUCUGCAGUCUACGUGGCCUGAGCACAAUACCUGGUGACCAGGGUUACUUUGCAGGAGUGGUUUCCCCCUUGGCUUGUUAAAGUAAUACAUGUGAAAUUCAACAUAAUCAAGCGAAUCGCAGUGAACGUCACCACCCUUAUGACACCCAGUGCUUCUCGAACAGUGGUCAUACAGCACAUUGCAUCCUGGGAAAUGCCUUAGUCAACAGUACUGCUCUUGGGAGAUGGGCAUGUUUCACUAGUAAGAAUCCUCUUGUCUCAUUUAAAACCCGAGAGCCUGGUUUGGGCCAACAUUGUAUAUUCUGUUUGUUCCAGAAAUCCCUAACUGUGUUUGGAAUGUAAAUGUGUCCUUUUCUCUACUACUGAUUGCAUGGGCCAGUUGUAUCUACGCGUCUGAGUCUAUAGAGUUUGUCAUGAAACAAAAACUUGUGACUUAUUAAUUACCUGUGAGUUCUUGCACACCAAAUGAAAAUGUUUGUCAAUGAUUUUGGUGCAGGGUUGGUAAUUUCCUAGUGUUUUGAUUGGGUCUUAAAUGACCUCCUGAGGCUAAAUGAUGACUCUUGUUCCCAGCUGAUGGAGCUCUGGGAAGAUGGUGGGGACCUUCAGGAAGUCUGUCAUUGAGAUCAUGCCCUGUUGGGGGACCUUCCUUCAGUUCUGUUUGCUUCCCAGAUGCCAG
This 870-nucleotide long non-coding RNA is filed under the name Cricetulus griseus (Chinese hamster). RNAcentral's name for it is "lncRNA (ENSCGRG00015041583.1)". Lineage: Eukaryota; Metazoa; Chordata; Mammalia; Rodentia; Cricetidae. The record is from RNAcentral.